RNAcentral lists this ribosomal RNA (256 nucleotides) under uncultured bacterium. Its description in RNAcentral is "partial 16S ribosomal RNA". It matches the Rfam family "Bacterial small subunit ribosomal RNA", at positions 524 to 776 of the family's 1533-position model. The record is from RNAcentral.
GACGUAGGGCGCGAGCGUUGUCCGGAUUUAUUGGGCGUAAAGAGCUCGUAGGCGGCUUGUCGCGUCGAAUGUGAAAUCUCAGGGCUCAACUCUGACAUUGCAUUCGAUACGGGCAGGCUAGAGUUCGGUAGGGGAGACUGGAAUUCCUGGUGUAGCGGUGAAAUGCGCAGAUAUCAGGAGGAACACCGGUGGCGAAGGCGGGUCUCUGGGCCGAUACUGACGCUGAGGAGCGAAAAGCGUGGGGGAGCGAAACAGG